AUUGAACGCUGGCGGCAUGCUUUACACAUGCAAGUCGAACGGUAACAGGCCGCAAGGUGCUGACGAGUGGCGAACGGGUGCGUAAUGCAUCGGAACGUGCCCAGUCGUGGGGGAUAACUACUCGAAAGAGUAGCUAAUACCGCAUACGAUCUAUGGAUGAAAGCGGGGGAUCGUAAGGCCUCGCGCGAUUGGAGCGGCCGAUGUCAGAUUAGGUAGUUGGUGGGGUAAAGGCUCACCAAGCCAACGAUCUGUAGCUGGUCUGAGAGGACGACCAGCCACACUGGAACUGAGACACGGCCCAGACUCCUACGGGAGGCAGCAGUGGGGAAUUUUGGACAAUGGGCGCAAGCCUGAUCCAGCAAUGCCGCGUGCAGGAAGAAGGCCUUCGGGUUGUAAACUGCUUUUGUACGGAAAGAAACGGCUCUGGUUAAUACCCGGGGCUAAUGACGGUACCGUAAGAAUAAGCACCGGCUAACUACGUG
RNAcentral lists this ribosomal RNA (482 nucleotides) under uncultured bacterium. Its description in RNAcentral is "partial 16S ribosomal RNA". It matches the Rfam family "Bacterial small subunit ribosomal RNA", at positions 30 to 507 of the family's 1533-position model. The record is from RNAcentral.